AUAAAAGAGAAAUAUUCCAUUUGAGAUAAAUAUAUUAAACAAUAAAUUUGUCAGAGCCAGUUUAAUGUUCAAUGCUGUUAUCGUCAUCUUUGACACAUGUCGGAAAGGGGGAAAAUCCAUCAAUGUACAGGAAGGAAUCGAGCACUGUGACCCUUCAGGAUGACAAUAAACCACAUUAUGUAGCAACAAAUAUGAUGUGAAGCCGACUGUGAAUGAUUCGAGGACAAAUGAAACGGCCGUGGACUAAAAAUGGUACUAUCCUGGCAUUUUAGAGGAUAAACCGAGAAAACUUCAAGAAAGUCAGAUCACAACAAUCAAUACUAUUACCACCACCAC
This is a long non-coding RNA of Zootermopsis nevadensis, 336 nucleotides long. RefSeq lists it as uncharacterized. Lineage: Eukaryota; Metazoa; Arthropoda; Insecta; Blattodea; Termopsidae. The record is from RefSeq and is a predicted model, not a curated record.